AUAUUAUGCAUGCACCUUGACCUUAUAGCUAAUUGGCAAUUGAUAAUACCGUGGUGCUAAACAUGAAAAAUUAAAUUUUUGUUUUUAUUUUGUGCUAAAUAGUAAGUUUAAUAAUGAUUUAAUAGCUGUCAGUUCUUGACGUUUUUGUAGGUAUAUAGAAAAAAACAUGUGUAUUUGAUUGCCAUUUGUUACGUUUAUGUACAGAAGAAAACAUUAAUAACUAUCAUAAUUAACAAUUACCUAUGAAUGCAAUUAAUCGCUAUCCAGCGGCAACACAUAGAACACGACACCCAGCAGCAGCAUAUAUAGCUUAAAUUAAUAAGUAUUCAUAUCGUAAUAAUUAAUAGUGUAUCAAUUUUAUUUAUUUACAGUUAAACAAGGAUUUAUAUAUUUGUUUCCACACAGCAAUAUUGCUUUGGAAAAUUUAUUAGUGUACAAAUAUGGUAUGGAGUGAAACGUUGGUUAGAUCAAAAGUUAACAUUGAAGAUAUAAAAGUUCUGAGUUCUACAAUAAAUGGAUUGUUUGUAUGAAUAUAUAUACACAUUUUUUUAUAGAAUGCAAUUUAUCGCUAUCCAACGACAACACACAGAACACGUUACCCAUUCCACACAUUCAUCUUCCUGGUGACAACGGUGUUUAUCGGAGUGACAGUUACAGUAUAGGCAUAUGUUUGUCAUGUCUUCAGAAUUUUCCAAGAGAUAGGUCUUAAAUUUUCUCUGUGAAUGUUAGGAUCAAACUCUAAACUAAACUUAGAACUGUCCAUAAUUGUAAAUGCAUAAUAUAUAAUAUAAACUCCACAAUUAAAUGUA
Molecule: long non-coding RNA, 809 nt
Organism: Aphis gossypii (cotton aphid)
Lineage: Eukaryota; Metazoa; Arthropoda; Insecta; Hemiptera; Aphididae
Exons: 2
Source: RefSeq, a predicted model, not a curated record